AGCGAACGCUGGCGGCAGGCCUAACACAUGCAAGUCGAGCGCCCGUAGCAAUACGGGAGCGGCAGACGGGAUAGUAACACGUGGGAACGUACCCUUCAGUUCGGAACAACCCAGGGAAACUUGGGCUAAUACCGAAUACGUCCGUAAGGAGAAAGAUUUAUCGCUGAAGGAUCGGCCCGCGUCUGAUUAGCUAGUUGGUGAGGUAAUGGCUCACCAAGGCGACGAUCAGUAGCGGUCUGAGAGGAUGAUCAGCAUCACUGGGACUGAGACACGGCCCAGACUCCUACGGGAGGCAGCAGUGGGGAAUAUUGGACAACGGGCGCAAGCCUGAUCCAGCCAUGCCGCGUGGAUGAUGAAGGCCCUAGGGUU
RNAcentral lists this ribosomal RNA (369 nucleotides) under uncultured bacterium. Its description in RNAcentral is "bacterial SSU rRNA". It matches the Rfam family "Bacterial small subunit ribosomal RNA", at positions 29 to 424 of the family's 1533-position model. The record is from RNAcentral.